Molecule: long non-coding RNA, 315 nt
Organism: Chelonia mydas (Green sea turtle)
Lineage: Eukaryota; Metazoa; Chordata; Testudines; Cheloniidae
Exons: 2
Source: RefSeq, a predicted model, not a curated record
AUGAGGAUUUUGGGGACUAGGAAAAUGAUGAUGGGGGGAGACUGAAGAUAGCACACACCAGGCAAGCGGAGAAACCAUUCUCCCCGACAGCCAGGAACUGUUCAUCACCCUGGAGUCAAUACCCUCACAACCUGGGCUCCCAAACCUUGAAGGUGGAGAAGUCACCUCUGCUGCAAAUGUUUCAACGCUGCCACUAGCAUCUCCGUCCCAGAGGCUAGCGCAGAUUAGAAGGUGAAAAAAACGCACUCGCGAGAAAUGUUCUCCGAGCUCAUGCAGUUCACCCGCACUGAAAGAGCCGAGCAGAACAUGUGGAGG